RNAcentral lists this ribosomal RNA (503 nucleotides) under uncultured bacterium. Its description in RNAcentral is "partial 16S ribosomal RNA". It matches the Rfam family "Bacterial small subunit ribosomal RNA", at positions 30 to 523 of the family's 1533-position model. The record is from RNAcentral.
AUUGAACGCUGGCGGCAGGCCUAACACAUGCAAGUCGAACGGUAGCACAGAGAGCUUGCUCUCGGGUGACGAGUGGCGGACGGGUGAGUAUGUCUGGGAAACUGCCCGAUGGAGGGGGAUAACUACUGGAAACGGUAGCUAAUACCGCAUAACGUCGCAAGACCAAAGUGGGGGACCUUCGGGCCUCACACCAUCGGAUGUGCCCAGAUGGGAUUAGCUAGUAGGUGGGGUAAUGGCUCACCUAGGCGACGACCCCUAGCUGGUCUGAGAGGAGGACCAGCCACACUGGAACUGAGACACGGUCCAGACUCCUACGGGAGGCAGCAGUGGGGAAUAUUGCACAAUGGGCGCAAGCCUGAUGCAGCCAUGCCGCGUGUAUGAAGAAGGCCUUCGGGUUGUAAAGUACUUUCAGCGGGGAGGAAGGCGGUGAAGUUAAUAACUUCACCGAUUGACGUUACCCGCAGAAGAAGCACCGGCUAACUCCGUGCCAGCAGCCGCCGUAA